UACGAAGGGGGCUAGCGUUGCUCGGAAUUAUUGGGCGUAAAGCGCGUGUAGGCGGCUUGUUAAGUUGGUCGUGAAAGCCCAUGGCUCAACCAUGGAAGUGCAACCAAAACUGGCAAGCUUGAGUUCUGAAGAGGAUGGCGGAAUUCCCAGUGUAGAGGUGAAAUUCGUAGAUAUUGGGAGGAACAUCGGUGGCGAAGGCGGCCAUCUGGGAAGAUACUGACGCUGAGACGCGAAAGCGUGGGUAGCAAACAGG
This 253-nucleotide ribosomal RNA is filed under the name uncultured bacterium. Its description in RNAcentral is "partial 16S ribosomal RNA". It matches the Rfam family "Bacterial small subunit ribosomal RNA", at positions 524 to 776 of the family's 1533-position model. The record is from RNAcentral.